GAUGAACGCUGGCGGCGUGCCUAAUACAUGCAAGUCGAGCGAACAGACGAGGAGCUUGCUCCUCUGACGUUAGCGGUGGACGGGUGAGUAACACGUGGAUAACCUACCUAUAAGACUGGGAUAACUUCGGGAAACCGGAGCUAAUACCGGAUAACAUGUUGAACCGCAUGGUUCAACAGUGAAAGACGGUCUUGCUGUCACUUAUAGAUGGAUCCGCGCCGCAUUAGCUAGUUGGUAAGGUAACGGCUUACCAAGGCAACGAUGCGUAGCCGACCUGAGAGGGUGAUCGGCCACACUGGAACUGAGACACGGUCCAGACUCCUACAGGAGGCAGCAGUAGGGAAUCUUCCGCAAUGGGCGAAAGCCUGACGGAGCAACGCCGCGUGAGUGAAGAAGGUCUUCGGAUCGUAAAACUCUGUUAUUAGGGAAGAACAAAUGUGUAAGUAACUAUGCACGUCUUGACGGUACCUAAUCAGAAAGCCACGGCUAACUACGUG
RNAcentral lists this ribosomal RNA (497 nucleotides) under uncultured bacterium. RNAcentral's name for it is "partial 16S ribosomal RNA". It matches the Rfam family "Bacterial small subunit ribosomal RNA", at positions 28 to 507 of the family's 1533-position model. The record is from RNAcentral.